AUAGAGUUAGGCUGGAAUACUAUUAAUAGCACCAAGCUAUUGGAGCUAUUAGUUUUUUAGCCCUUGAAUUGAAAAAUGUGAGGUUAGGAUGACGUGGACCCCCUAGGGUUGAGUGGGUGACUAGUUGAAUAGUUUUUUAGUCCUUGGUGCUAUCGAUAGUAUCCCAGCCAAACUCUAUAAUUAUAUUUCUAUACUAUCGAUAGUACCAAGCGUUUGGUACUAUUGAGUUUUUGAUCGUUGGAUGAAAAAAUAUGCAUUUAGAAUGAUAAUGAUCCCCUCGAGUUGAGUGGGUCGUUGAUUGAAUAGUAUAAUUUAACGGGUGGAAAUAAUCAAAGGAUAGAUCUAACGGCAGAAAACUCGAUAGUAUCAAGAGCAUGGUACUAUCGAUAGUAUAGUAGCCGGACUCUCUCUCUCUCUAUAUAUAAGUUAGGGCUCCUAUACUCUUAUGAGUAUUAACUGCUUUGUACUCAUAACUUUUCGAUCAUUGAAUGAAGGGAUGUACGGUUUGGAUGAUAGUGGUCUCCGGUUAAAAUAAUGUUAGUCACUUACGGUUGAGUGGGUGAUUGUUUGAAUAGCAUAAUCUAAUAGAUGGAAAUGAUCAAAAGGUAGUUCUAACGGCUAUGGCUAGGACUACUAUACUUUUAUGAGUAUUAACCCUUUGUAUUCAUUCAUAAAUUAUUAGUCAUUGGAUGAAUGAUAUGCGAUUAGGAUGAUAAUAGUCUUCAGUUAAGAUGAUAGUGAUCUAUUAAAUUUCAAUAGCGUCUUCUCUUAUAUUCUUAUUACUUUUAAUUUUC
RNAcentral lists this long non-coding RNA (794 nucleotides) under Ananas comosus (pineapple). Its description in RNAcentral is "long non-coding RNA (ACOM_LNC035987)". The record is from RNAcentral. Lineage: Eukaryota; Viridiplantae; Streptophyta; Magnoliopsida; Poales; Bromeliaceae.